UGUACCCCCAGCGUUAAGCAAUGCAUGACUGUACACAUAAAACCUAUACAACCAGGAAUCAAGUGGCCAAGGCUAGAAGCACAUGUGUCCAGCCAUGCGUAGAAGCAACACGGAGUUUCUACUGACACCGAACUUCACCUGAGUUUCGAGGCCCUGCAAAAGGAUGGUCAAGAAGCUCCACCUUCCACGUUCCAGAAAUGGUUCCCUGCGAAGAUCACCUUCCUCGCAGGCAAGGGUGGCAGAAAAUAAAACAGAAGAGGCGAAUGUUAGCUUCCUGCAAUCCCAUGUGUGUGGGAAAUGUGCGUCUAGCGGCAGGCUGUGAUUACUGCUUAAUGAAGGCUGAUAUAAACCUCACCCCAUGCCUGCUGGAAACAGAUUCAUUCACACGAUGCUCCAGCCUGGGACCAAGGCACGCAGUGCACAAGCAGCAAGGUUGGGAAAUGCUCCUGGAAGCAAAUGUCUAAAAACCUGGGCACGAAACGGAUGGGAUAUUCAGGUUUGUCACACGCAACUGGAUGGAAUUAAAAUAAGUGACGUGAAUUGACAUACUGAAAAAUUCAGCGUGAUGUGUAAUGAGGAAGAUGAUGUCAGUAGGAAAACACAGAGGCCUGAGCCAGUUGUAGGGAUGAACGAG
Long non-coding RNA from Gorilla gorilla gorilla (western lowland gorilla), 634 nucleotides. The record is from Ensembl. NCBI's taxonomy places the organism in Eukaryota, Metazoa, Chordata, Mammalia, Primates, Hominidae.